This 162-nucleotide ribosomal RNA is filed under the name Acer spicatum (mountain maple). Its description in RNAcentral is "5.8S ribosomal RNA". It matches the Rfam family "5.8S ribosomal RNA". From Rfam's summary of the family: 5.8S ribosomal RNA (5.8S rRNA) is a component of the large subunit of the eukaryotic ribosome. It is transcribed by RNA polymerase I as part of the 45S precursor that also contains 18S and 28S rRNA. The record is from RNAcentral. Lineage: Eukaryota; Viridiplantae; Streptophyta; Magnoliopsida; Sapindales; Sapindaceae.
AAAACGACUCUCGGCAACGGAUAUCUCGACUCUCGCAUCGAUGAAGAACGUAGCGAAAUGCGAUACUUGGUGUGAAUUGCAGAAUCCCGUGAACCAUCGAGUCUUUGAACGCAAGUUGCGCCCCAAGCCGUUAGGCCGAGGGCACGCCUGCCUGGGUGUCAC